This 46-nucleotide non-coding RNA is filed under the name Schistosoma curassoni. The record is from RNAcentral. Lineage: Eukaryota; Metazoa; Platyhelminthes; Trematoda; Strigeidida; Schistosomatidae.
GUCACAACUGACGAGUUCCAAAUAGGACGAAAUGUGCAUCCUGGAC